This is a long non-coding RNA of Scophthalmus maximus (turbot), 4251 nucleotides long. Lineage: Eukaryota; Metazoa; Chordata; Actinopteri; Pleuronectiformes; Scophthalmidae. The record is from Ensembl.
AUUUGACCAAACGUUCAUAUGCAUCAUGUGCUUGCAUAUAGUCGAAAAAGAUCCCUCUGCAAAGUUGUUCAGGGUCAAAUGCUCUGUUUUCAUUUUCCAGUCGGCCGCCCGGUCCCUCAAGGUGAGAAACAAGCCGAUGAGUGAAGCAGCGGCCAGUCUACAUCCCACGGCCUGGCAGCCGUAGGUGAGCGGACACACAGUCAGCCAACAGCCAGUUAGCCGCCACAUGCACCGUCAGCCAGGCGCCAUCAGGUCGCCACCAAUCUGUCCGCCCAACGGGGAAACUGGCCAUGACACGGAAUUCACAAGGACGACCUGACGUCGAGGGCGAGGCGAUGACAAAAACCCCCCCCCGCAGUCGGCCCAGGGCCGAGGACCAUCUUCACUCCGGAACUUUCCUAUGUCGCAAGUACGGUCGCUCUGAAACCUACAGCAGUCUUUCAAAUGCAGUACAUUCUUUUCGAUUUCAUUCUUUUAACUGUCAAAUAGUACAACAAAUACUGGCUACCAGUAGGAUUUAUGAUAUACAGGAGAGAGGGAGACGGGUAUAAGAUGGUAGUCUGACUCCUUCGUGUACCAAAAAAAUAUCAAUCAAUCCUAAAGCAAUAAACAAACAGGCAAGAGAUGCUUAAUCUCAGCAGGUUGUGUUUUAUGGAAUCAUUUUUAAUAGAUUCAAGAUCCAAACACUUUACAAAAACGCAACCAGCGAGUUCACGUUUUGACGAGCUGAAUGUCAACGUUGCCAGCUGGAUCUCUUUUGUUCCACAUGAUGGUGGGACACAGCGCGCCGACCUUCAGCUCCCGUGUGCGCGAGUAACGUCACGGACAUGUACAAUGACAAGGCGGCUGCUCCGAGGAAGAUGUCCACAGGAAAUUCAAUCCCGAACCGACCGACCGUCUGCGACAUCUCUGAUAUAGCGGGCACUUAGGGGUUCUCAAAUCUGAUUUCACCUCUCCAGUUGGAACGAACGUCUCGGCAAUGACGACAGGAGGGGUCAAGUUGUUCGACUGGUUAAAGUCAAGAAGACGGAUGCCACAGACUGCAGCACCAGGUAAUGGCCUGGUGGAGUAUUUAAGAAGUAGCUGUAUUCAGGUUCUGCAUCUUAGCGGCAAAGCUUGAGUUGCGAUGUCUUCCCUGGUCACUAGAUGGGUUAUCAUUCAGAGUUCGCAUUCUUCAGACUUCAGUUUAACGCUGUGCUGAGUAAAGGUGGCACAGUGGGGAGCACUGUCGCCUCGCAAUGAGGAGAUUCUUGAUUGGCCCUGCGUCAUGCGCAGUGUCAGCUGGGAUUGGCUCCGGGGAAUGAGAAUAAGGUGUGAGGAGGAGGAGAGAACAAUCAGAGAGUGGUGCGGGGGAGAAUUACAACCGUUGUACGUAAUCACAGCACUAACAAGCUACUCACCCCGUGUGACCAUUUUUUUUUAUCGGCCGAUGUGACAAGAGGGAAGGACGGUAAUUGCUGUCCUAAGAACAAUGCAGAUUAAAAAAUUGAUGAGCCCGUCAACUCGGCUGACUGCGGACGAGUGUGUGUGUGUGUGUGUGUGUGUGUGUGUGUACUUUGUGUGUGUGUGGGUGUGUACUUUGUGUGUGUGUGGGUGUGUACUUUGUGUGCAGUACUUUGUGUGUUUGAGUGCUUAGAUGACAGUAAGUGGCUGCAGCUGGGUCGUACAGGGUCUCAAAGCUUGUUAAAAGACUAGCUGGGAAUAAUGGAGUGGGGCUCCUGGCUGUUCACUCUGUACACAGACACACACACACGCAUACACACACACGAUGUGUGAAUACUUAGUAUGCCAGUUUCUGUUAGAAAGCCAACUGACUUCUGCUCAGGUCAUUCCCAGGCUUCUUUUGACUGGUGUGUUAUUGUGACUGGUGUGUGUGUGUGUGUGUGUGUUAUUGUGACUGGUGUGUUAUUGUGACUGGUGUGUGUGUGUGUGUGUGUGUACGUACGAAGCGGACGUGAAGCGGUUGCUGCGUGACAGAAUUGUUUUUCUUGUUUCCUUAUUAUCGGCUUGUCACUGACAGUCAUCUCAUUGACCAGGAAAAUGAACUUGUGGUUCAUUGUUUUAAAAACAUUAUGGGAAUGUUAGCAGUUGAAAACGUUGAUGUGAUUUAUAGACGUUUUCACAGUUCAAUAAAGGAUCGUUCCUGGGGGGGCAUCUUAUGAGAAGAGAUGUGGCAUCAGUUUAUUUCUGCAGUCACUUCAUAUCUGUUUGGUCCUUUGUAUAGAGUAACACAAAUCUUCUCCCUGCAUCUGUAUCUCUCAAUAUUUCAGAAAAAUAUCUGUAGCUGAGUUUGGAUUGUACCGACAAUGGGCACGGCUCAUAUCCAAUUUCUCUAUUCACAGUUAGAUGUCGAUGACAUUUGUGAAUGUGAAUAGCAACAAAAUAAUCUAAAAUCUUAACCAUGAACCUGAAGUAGUCUAAUAAUGAAAUGUAUUUGAACCUCACUUUCAAAACAUGUAACAAAGUGAGUCUAAAAGCUGUGCGUCUGUUAAUGGACCAGGUGGAAAUGAACUCCUCUGGCACUUCUUCGCAGGUCAACCUCAGGUCAAAUUACUCCUGACUAAAGUAAAAAGUUUGACCAGAAGUGAAAUAUAUUUUAGUCAAUUUUAGAUGUUUUUUUUUUGUUCGUACAUACGUCUUGGCUGUCUCUAUAACACCGGGUCAAAUCUGUAUCUUUUCACAUGCUACUCAUUUGACUGAGUUUGCUAUUUUGUGAGUAAUUGUUAAGAUUCUAGUAAAGUCAAUUCCAUCCAUCAAUGAGUGAUUUUGAUCUUCUUUUAAGUUUUGCUCAAGACGUUUUGAUAAACGUACCAAUGGUGUCUCCAAAAAGAUUUGCACUGCCUCCUUCCUGAGAUAUGUAAUCUCACUGUUUAACAAAACUGCUCCUAUAUGUGUGGACAUACACAACUAGCUGGUGACCGAUGAUGUCCUCGGGUCCUGACCUAUUAAUCCCUCGCUGUGCAUCAGUGGUCGUGGCCUGUCGUGUCUGUCCCCGCUCCAUUUUCAUGCCGAACCAAUGCCAGAAUAAAAGUUGGCAGACGUGAAGUAUAAAAGUGGGGAAAUAUAUAUAUUUUUUUUUACACAGCAACUGAGUUCGACGAGCACGUGGGCAUGUGCUGGUCGUCCUGGAGAAUACAGGAAUCAGCCACUUUUGCACCGGCUUCCCUUUCCGAAUCUACGGCCAUCUUUACAUGCAGUCUAUAUGGGAUACUGUUGAAUGCAGUCGGUCCUGCACAAUCAUGCUUUUGAUAAUAAUAAUUUGCUGACACUGCUGAAUCCACUCUCUGACAUUCUUUUUCAACGCCGCGGUUGAUGUGGACGAAGCCUUCGUAAGACUUCUUCCAGAAUACCGUCGCCUGCGGCUCAGCACCAUGGACAGCUCCAGCACGAAGACGCAGGCGGACUGAGCGAUCGCUCAAAGAGACGUGCAGCUGCAUCGCCUCUGAGAUACAUUUUCGUCAUGUGACUGCAGGAAAGUCAUGCUGACUUUCUCUGUACACUGUACUUCACUCGCAAAAAUAAAUAAAUAAAUAUAUAUAUAUAUUCUUUCUGUGUCUGUCUUUCCUUCCAUAAAACUGAAAUGUUGUUAUCCCUUUAGUGACAGGGUCUAGUUGAGCGAUAUCAUCUGCCAGGGGACAGUCUGUCAAAGUCGGGACAGAAAGUUGGCAGGCGGCGCGCCGCAGAGCAAUCGCAGAUACCACGCAGGCGCGCUGCCAAGACAUAGAGAGGGGAGGGACGGAGGCAGACGAGCAAACUGCAGAGAAAGCAGAAGUGAAGGCGAGCGUUUGUGGGUCGGGGGCGUCGGGGGGAAAGAGGUGGGAGGGCAAACGAAGCGAGAGGACACAUUAGAGACAAAGAGGAGAAAAAACUUCAACAACGGCGGGUCAAGAAAGUGAGGUUUCCACCGAGUUUGAUUUUAUUUCUACUGGUCCUCCUACAUUAAAAGUUGUAAAACAGAUUGAAGAUACGUUUGACAGGUAUGACCUUUGGGAGUUAUGCAUUUUGUAAAAAAAAACAACACAAAUUUUUGUUAAUGCAGGAUUCUGACCUGGAUUUCCUUUGCAUUUCCCCCUAUGGGUUUAUUGAUUUAUGCAUAAGAGUGAUCUCUGAACGAGUGUGUGCGACUACAGGGUCAGUUUUACCACACAGUGCGUCUCACAGAUCAGAUACAGGAUGACAGGGACAUUCAGUGCACAUAAAAGCAAUAAUACAAGUCAUUUCGCAGUGAGAAGGACCCAGAUUCAACAUUUC